UACGGUGGGUGCAAGCGUUAUCCGGAUUCACUGGGUUUAAAGGGUGCGUAGGCGGGCAGGUAAGUCAGUGGUGAAAUCCUGGAGCUUAACUCCAGAACUGCCAUUGAUACUAUCUGUCUUGAAUAUUGCGGAGGUAAGCGGAAUAUGUCAUGUAGCGGUGAAAUGCUUAGAUAUGACAUAGAACACCCAUUGCGAAGGCAGCUUACUAUACAUAUAUUGACGCUGAGGCACGAAAGCGUGGGGAUCAAACAGG
Molecule: ribosomal RNA, 253 nt
Filed under: uncultured bacterium
Lineage: Bacteria
Description: partial 16S ribosomal RNA
Rfam family: Bacterial small subunit ribosomal RNA
Source: RNAcentral